Long non-coding RNA from Sinocyclocheilus anshuiensis, 529 nucleotides. RefSeq lists it as uncharacterized. Lineage: Eukaryota; Metazoa; Chordata; Actinopteri; Cypriniformes; Cyprinidae. The record is from RefSeq and is a predicted model, not a curated record. The transcript has 3 exons.
UGAAACCCCAAAGAAGAAGAAGAAGAAGAAGAGCAAGAGCAAGACGCGUCAGACUACACGUGCGCAACGAUAUUUGACUCUCUGCACACCUGCGUGACCCCCUGCAAAGUUUUUCUUCGAUUGGUUUUGACAGAGGGACGUCUUACCUUUUCAACGGCUGGUAAAGGUCCUUAAUGAAAGGUGUGUUUUGUGUACCUGCCAAGGUGCGUUACUCACAAUAGAUAUUGAAUGUGGCAGUGUAAAGGUUGCGGUUCAAAGACCUCAACUAGAUGUCAGUUACUAAAACAUUAUAGGUUAAAACAUCCUCAAUAUGGGUGUAGGCACCCAUAUCCUUGCCCAUAUACUAGUUGUCCAUGUACAUUCAAGUCAUGGAAUGCACUUUGAUCACACCUCUGUAGAGCCCAUAACAGAGACUCAUCUCAGCAAACAUCAUCAUUGGCUACAUUCAGAUGUCAAGUUUGUGCAUUCGCUGAACUUGGCAAUGAUAAGGAAUAUUUAAGUCACAUAAAUCUGCAUCUUAAAUCCCAUG